CCUACGGGAGGCAGCAGUGAGGAAUAUUGGUCAAUGGGCGCGAGCCUGAACCAGCCAAGUCGCGUGAGGGAAGACGGUCCUCUGGAUUGUAAACCUCUUUUGUCGGGGAGCAAAAGACGCCACGCGUGGCGUUCCGAGAGUACCCGAAGAAAAAGCAUCGGCUAACUCCGUGCCAGCAGCGCCGCUAAUACGGGGGAUGCGAGCGUUGUCCGGAUGUAUUGGGGUUAACGGGUGCGCAGGCGGAAGAUCAAGUCAGCGGUAAAAUUGAGGGGCUCAACCCCUUCGAGCCGUUGAAACUGGUUAUCUUGAGUGUGUGAGAAGUAUGCGGAAUGCGUGGUGUAGCGGUGAAAUGCAUAGAUAUCACGCAGAACUCCGAUUGCGAAGGCGACCUGCUAGAACAUAACUGACGCUGAUGCGCGAAAGCAUGGGGAGCAAACAGGAUUAGAUACCCCUGUAGUC
Molecule: ribosomal RNA, 459 nt
Filed under: uncultured bacterium
Lineage: Bacteria
Description: partial 16S ribosomal RNA
Rfam family: Bacterial small subunit ribosomal RNA
Source: RNAcentral